RNAcentral lists this ribosomal RNA (376 nucleotides) under uncultured organism. Its description in RNAcentral is "partial 16S ribosomal RNA". It matches the Rfam family "Bacterial small subunit ribosomal RNA", at positions 527 to 897 of the family's 1533-position model. The record is from RNAcentral.
UGAGGGUGCAAGCGUUAAUCGGAAUUACUGGGCGUAAAGCGAGUGUAGGCGGCUUCGUAAGUCGGAUGUGAAAGCCCCGGGCUUAACCUGGGAAUUGCAUUCGAUACUGCGCGGCUAGAGUCUGAUAGAGGGAAGUGGAAUUCCAGGUGUAGCGGUGAAAUGCGUAGAUAUCUGGAGGAACAUCAGUGGCGAAGGCGGCUUCCUGGAUCAAGACUGACGCUGAGGCUCGAAAGCGUGGGGGGAGCAAACAGGAUUAGAUACCCUGGUAGUCCACGCCCCUAAACGAUGUCAACUAGACGUUGGGCUCAUUAAGGAGCUUAGUGUCGAAGCUAACGCGUUAAGUUGACCCGCCUGGGGAGUACGGCCGCAAGGUUGA